GCAGUGGGGAAUAUUGGACAAUGGGCGAAAGCCUGAUCCAGCCAUGCCGCGUGUGUGAAGAAGGUCUUCGGAUUGUAAAGCACUUUAAGUUGGGAGGAAGGGUUGUAGAUUAAUACUCUGCAAUUUUGACGUUACCNNCAGAAUAAGCACCGGCUAACUCUGUGCCAGCAGCCGCGGUAAUACAGAGGGUGCAAGCGUUAAUCGGAAUUACUGGGCGUAAAGCGCGCGUAGGUUGUUUGUUAAGUUGAUGUGAAAUCCCCGGGCUCAACCUGGGAACUGCAUUCAAAACUGCCUGACUAGAGUAUGGUAGAGGGUGGUGGAAUUUCCUGUGUAGCGGUGAAAUGCGUAGAUAUAGGAAGGAACACCAGUGGCGAAGGCGACCACCUGGACUAAUACUGACACUGAGGNGCGAAAGCGUGGGGAGCAAACAGGAUUAGAUACCCUGGUAGUCCACGCCGUAAACGAUGUC
This 469-nucleotide ribosomal RNA is filed under the name uncultured Pseudomonas sp. Its description in RNAcentral is "bacterial SSU rRNA". It matches the Rfam family "Bacterial small subunit ribosomal RNA", at positions 351 to 813 of the family's 1533-position model. Lineage: Bacteria; Pseudomonadati; Pseudomonadota; Gammaproteobacteria; Pseudomonadales; Pseudomonadaceae. The record is from RNAcentral.